RNAcentral lists this long non-coding RNA (348 nucleotides) under Populus tremula. RNAcentral describes it as "long non-coding RNA (PTRE_LNC002141)". Lineage: Eukaryota; Viridiplantae; Streptophyta; Magnoliopsida; Malpighiales; Salicaceae. The record is from RNAcentral.
GCUUGAGUCCAGACACUAAAAACUCGAUGUUUCUCCUGUGAAUUGUUCAAGAUUCCGGUGACACCCCCCCUUGCAUAUGAAUCUGAGACAGAGUAGAUAAUAGAUGCAUGGUUGUCCGUUCUCCAUUGGCAGAACCUUUCUUUCUUUUUAUGGUCAAAGAGAGCCCACAAUGCUUCCUCUCAACGAGGACCCCACAGGGGCCACACAAUGCUUCCUCCUCCUCCUCCUCCUCAUUUUCUCUCUCUAAGAAUGAAGUCGCAGAUCUUAUCUUGUGCUCAAAUCUACCAUCCUUUUGCACUUGCACCGGGAAAGGAAAGGGAUGGUUUUUCUUUUCUUCUUCUUUCUUUU